This 505-nucleotide ribosomal RNA is filed under the name uncultured bacterium. RNAcentral's name for it is "partial 16S ribosomal RNA". It matches the Rfam family "Bacterial small subunit ribosomal RNA", at positions 28 to 507 of the family's 1533-position model. The record is from RNAcentral.
GACGAACGCUGGCGGCGUGCCUAAUACAUGCAAGUCGAACGCACAGUUUAUACCGUAGCUUGCUACACCAUAAACUGUGAGUUGCGAACGGGUGAGUAACGCGUAGGUAACCUGCCUGGUAGCGGGGGAUAACUAUUGGAAACGAUAGCUAAUACCGCAUAAUAUUGAUUAUUGCAUGGUAAUUGAUUGAAAGAUGCUAUUGCAUCACUACCAGAUGGACCUGCGUUGUAUUAGCUAGUAGGUGAGGUAACGGCUCACCUAGGCGGCGAUACAUAGCCGACCUGAGAGGGUGAUCGGCCACACUGGGACGGAGACACGGCCCAGACUCCUACGGGAGGCAGCAGUAGGGAAUCGUCGGCAAGGGACGAAAGUCUGACCGAGCAACGCCGCGUGAGUGAAGAAGGUUUUCGGAUCGUAAAGCUCGGUUGUAAGAGAAGAACGGGUGUGAGAGUGGAAAGUUCACACUGUGACGGUAUCUGACCAGAAAGGAACGGCUAACUACGUG